AUUCGCCUCAAUCAGGUAGACUCCCCUAAAUUAAGCUUUCAUAGCGGAGAAA
Molecule: ribosomal RNA, 52 nt
Filed under: Lodderomyces metapsilosis
Lineage: Eukaryota; Fungi; Ascomycota; Pichiomycetes; Serinales; Debaryomycetaceae
Description: Candida metapsilosis partial 28S ribosomal RNA
Source: RNAcentral